GUUCCUGUAGUUGAAUUUUGAUCAACAGCGGCUUUUCAGGCCGCGGGUCUUGGAGAAAAGCCAAGCGGGAAUU
Molecule: transfer RNA, 73 nt
Filed under: Limosa lapponica (bar-tailed godwit)
Lineage: Eukaryota; Metazoa; Chordata; Aves; Charadriiformes; Scolopacidae
Also listed under: 1 other name
Description: tRNA-Glu
Source: RNAcentral